This is a non-coding RNA of Amborella trichopoda, 1161 nucleotides long. The record is from RefSeq and is a predicted model, not a curated record. NCBI's taxonomy places the organism in Eukaryota, Viridiplantae, Streptophyta, Magnoliopsida, Amborellales, Amborellaceae.
GACCUCUCUCCUAUUCUCUCUCUCUCUUCACGGACCUCCCUCGCUCUCUCUUUGUGGACCUCCCUCUCUCUAUGUUCAGCAGUAGCGAUGGACGCGAUGCAGCAAUAGCGAUGGAUGCGAUGGCAGUGAUGAAGCAGCCAUUGAAGCCCCUGGGCUUGAGCAUUGCCUCUCUCUCUUUAUCAGUCAUUGAAGCCCUCUCAUCCCACACAGAGGGAUGGACACCUCUCGCUAUAGCUACAACAGCAGUAGCGCAUCCCUCUCUCUCUGUCUAUAUGCAGCCAUUGAAGCCCUGAGCUUAGGCAUCUCUCUCUUUUUAGUAACUAUUGAAGCCCUCUGAGCCCACACAGAAAUUAAAGCCCUCUCAUCCCUCACCAUUAGCAACUAUUGAAGCUCUCUCGCUAGCUUAAAAAAACCCUGGCUGGCCUCCCAACUGUAGCCCACCCCAUCUCUAAAGUUUUGUUUUUGGCCAUUGGGUUUUUUCGCCCCUGUUGCAUUGAGUUUAUAUCACAAGUAUGUAGUAUCUAUUUGUCACAAUUUUAUCUUCCUCUUACAACGCUAAGGACAAAACACGUCAUAAGCUUUGGACCCAUAAGAAGGCCGCAGAUGUGAGUUGAUGGUAAGAAGCAAUUGUUUAGAAGUCAUGUUUGCAAGUUCAUUUUGAAACAUUUGUAUAUGCGUGUAAGUUCAUAUUUGUAAUUUCAUUUGGAACACUAUUGUCACUCAUCAAAAUGUGUCUCAGGCAGAGAGGACAAAUUCAUAUGGAACAACUUCAAAGGAGGGGCUAUGUUGCUGUUUUUUUUUUUUUUUUGAAAAGUUGUUGUUAAACUAUUGGCAUUAUUGAUGUAGGUUUUAUGCAUUUCACUCAAAAAAAAGAUAUAGGUUGUAUGCCAUUGUACUCUUUUCACUUCUUUUUGGGUUGUUAGGUGAUAUGUAAGGUGAUUGGGUACAAGGAACGAACCAUUAUUUGAUAAUGGCCAGGACUACUGAAUUUUAUAUGAGCAAUUUUGUUAUUGAAUGGACUACCCCAUUUGGCAGGUAGUUGAUGAAUUGUAUGUAAUAUUAUAGUUAUCAAAUGCAAUGUAUUAUCACUAUGGCAAUAAUUUGUCAACCUGUUUCUUGAAAGGUGUUUAGAUGAAUAGAAUGUAAUUCAAAUUGUUAGCA